GGCUCCUUAGCUCAGUGGUAGAGCAGAGGAUUGAAAAUCCUCGUGUCCUAAGUUCAAUUCUUAGAGGAGCCACCA
Molecule: transfer RNA, 75 nt
Filed under: Alphaproteobacteria bacterium
Lineage: Bacteria; Pseudomonadati; Pseudomonadota; Alphaproteobacteria
Description: tRNA-Phe
Rfam family: tRNA
About the family: Transfer RNA (tRNA) molecules are approximately 80 nucleotides in length. Their secondary structure includes four short double-helical elements and three loops (D, anti-codon, and T loops). Further hydrogen bonds mediate the characteristic L-shaped molecular structure. tRNAs have two regions of fundamental functional importance: the anti-codon, which is responsible for specific mRNA codon recognition, and the 3' end, to which the tRNAs corresponding amino acid is attached (by aminoacyl-tRNA synthetases). tRNAs cope with the degeneracy of the genetic code in two manners: having more than one tRNA (with a specific anti-codon) for a particular amino acid; and 'wobble' base-pairing, i.e. permitting non-standard base-pairing at the 3rd anti-codon position.
Source: RNAcentral